Transfer RNA from Pelodiscus sinensis (Chinese soft-shelled turtle), 90 nucleotides. It matches the Rfam family "tRNA". From Rfam's summary of the family: Transfer RNA (tRNA) molecules are approximately 80 nucleotides in length. Their secondary structure includes four short double-helical elements and three loops (D, anti-codon, and T loops). The record is from Rfam. NCBI's taxonomy places the organism in Eukaryota, Metazoa, Chordata, Testudines, Trionychidae.
CCUUUGAUAGCUCAGUUGGCAGAGCAGAGAACUGUAGUGUGUGUUUGGCAAAUUAUCCUUAGGUUGCUGGUUCAACUCUGGCUCAAAGGA